Molecule: long non-coding RNA, 259 nt
Organism: Haliotis rubra (blacklip abalone)
Lineage: Eukaryota; Metazoa; Mollusca; Gastropoda; Lepetellida; Haliotidae
Exons: 3
Source: RefSeq, a predicted model, not a curated record
GCAACAUCCAGUUUGGAAAGAACGAGGAAACAGGCCCCAAAAGAGAAGUAAAAGAAAGGAAAGGAAGAAAACCAAGAGGACACAAGGACGAGCACGUUUAUGAAAACACCGUCGUCAGGAACUAAUCUUUCCGGUAACUACGGAUACCGAUGACAUCACGCGACUCGGACACCUAUCUGUGUCAUCGAUUAGUGUUUGCCAUAUAUGUACAUUAGUAUGUAGAUUCUUUACUGUUCGUAUUACCCCGAACUAAUACAAC